GGGAGAGUUCCAUAGCGGCAAUUGGAGCUGACUGUAAAUCAGCCGAUUUAUUUCUUCGUAGGUUCGAGUCCUACCUCUCCCA
This 82-nucleotide transfer RNA is filed under the name Candidatus Onthovivens merdipullorum. RNAcentral describes it as "tRNA-Tyr". It matches the Rfam family "tRNA". From Rfam's summary of the family: Transfer RNA (tRNA) molecules are approximately 80 nucleotides in length. Their secondary structure includes four short double-helical elements and three loops (D, anti-codon, and T loops). Lineage: Bacteria; Bacillati; Bacillota; Bacilli; Caryophanales. The record is from RNAcentral.